This is a long non-coding RNA of Dreissena polymorpha, 1763 nucleotides long. RefSeq lists it as uncharacterized. NCBI's taxonomy places the organism in Eukaryota, Metazoa, Mollusca, Bivalvia, Myida, Dreissenidae. The record is from RefSeq and is a predicted model, not a curated record. The transcript has 4 exons.
UACACACCAACAAACCGGGGAACACCUACCAACCGGGGAAUUCCCCGGUUGGUUUUAGGCGAAAAUCUCUAAUCUACGUGAAUGAAAUACCAAACUGUCAAUUUAAAUUAGAAAUCCAACGCCUUCCCCGAUUAGCGGGUUUGUGGCAUGCACAAAAUAUACACAAAUCUUCACCAUAUUACAAUCGAGUGUGUAUCCAGGCUUAUAACAGUUCCCCGGUUGCGCUGUUUAAAAAUCAUACACUCGGUAUUUAUAUCAUUUAGUGAAAGUCAGUUGGAAAAAUGGAGUUUCGAGCGAACAAACGCAUUAAACUAAGGCAACACAAUGACUACUAGAUCUACGGACAGCCAGGAACCAGGACAAACAACAUCCGUACACACGGAAGAAGUCGAUGAGACGAGUACCGAAACUAAAGAACAUAGCGACACUGCACAAGAGUACAAUUCACAAGAUGCAGCAGAAAAUAUGUUGAACAGUGAUUCAUCGGAUAUCGAUGAUAGUGACAAUGACAAAGACUAUAUUCCGGAAGAAGGCGAUGCAUCGUCAGAUGAGUCGAUAGUUGUCGAACUCAUACCAAACAUUCAAAGAUUUCAAAAGAAGACAGCGUCAACACUACCUCCUGUUGAAUCCUUGCAAUCUCGUGAACGUGACGAAUCAUCCGCAGAGGCACACAAAACCAACAUCACCAUCGCUCAAACAAAUAACAGUGAAUACAGACAUUACGAUAAGAGAUUUUAUUGCAUGUUUUGCGAAAAGGCUCAAAUAAAACUAAAAAAAACAUUUGCUUUUGCAGCAUAAAGAUGGGCAAGAUGUGAAAGAUCUAUUAAAUACGGAAAAUUCAGCAGAAAAUAAAAAAAUGUAUGAAAAAAUAAGAAACGUAGGGAACCAUCUCCAUAAUGUUAAAGUAUUGCGAGAUGGCCAAGGACAGCUGUUUGUGUCAUACAGACAAAGUCACAAUCAACGCGUAGCUGCAGACGAGUAUGGACCUUGUCCUUACUGUUACGGGUAUUACCCGAAGAAAAUCCUGUGGAGGCACACUCAAAAAUGUAAGUUUACAAUGCGGCGGGAUCAAGAAAACGACUCGCUUUAGAGAGCAGCCUGCUAUUACCAAAAUCAAAAGAAGGAAGCACUAUUUUAAGACGAGUAAUCGAGUCCAUGAGAAACGACAAAAUAAGUCGCAAAGUCAAAAGUGAUAAUACAAUCCUUGCAUUCGGUGAAAAACUCUGUACAAAAAGGGGCCAUGAUGAAAAGCAACACAAUUAUAUUAGACAGAAGUUAAGAGAAGUUGGUAGAUUGCUGAAAUACAUGCGAUCUUGUCCAGGCAAUGUUGAAAAGUCUUUGGAGAAUUUCAUGUAUCCAGAUGCUUUCAAAUUUAUUACACAAUCUUGCAAAAACGUUGCAGGCUUCGACUGAAACACCAAUACGUAUGCUACACCAUCAUUAGCCUUAAAGAUUGGCACAACGCUUCAGAAAUGUCUAAAAAUUCUAGUUUCGAAAGGAAUCGAAACAAACAACCAGGAUCUGCAAACAAGGGCUGAGGAGCUUUCCAAACUAUUUGAAAUUAAUUGGACGGAUGACGUGUCUUCCAAUGCCUUAAGAACACUUCAUGAGGCUAAGCAGAACAGUCAGAAAGAACUGUUGCCAUUGGCAAAUGAUGUCAAAGUAAUGUCUGAAUACUUACGACAUGAAGCAGAAACACAUGCAAAUACCUUACAAGAAUCAGCAAGUGAUUGCGAGAAAAGGCAAGCAUGGCAUAAGUUGUC